Long non-coding RNA from Rattus norvegicus (Norway rat), 6808 nucleotides. RefSeq lists it as uncharacterized. The record is from RefSeq and is a predicted model, not a curated record. NCBI's taxonomy places the organism in Eukaryota, Metazoa, Chordata, Mammalia, Rodentia, Muridae.
GCCUUUAGGAGGCAGAGUCUUCGUCCAAGGGUAGGUCACUGAGGACAGACAUGAGGUUUGAUACCUCAGUCUCGUCUUCAGUUUUCUGACUGUGGACGUGGUGUGACCAGACACUUGGAGCCCCUACCAUCAUGACUCUACACUAUGAUGGACCACAGCUCCUCAAACUGGGAGCCUCCUAUAAGAUCUUUUUCAUCAGAUAAGUAGGCAUCCUCAGUGGCAUUUGUAAUAUGAAUGCUACCUACAAAGUGAAGAAGCACACUUUCCCAGUGCCUCAGCAGAGCUCCAAGAGCUGCUGUGCGUGGCGGGCCAGUGGAGGCUGGGAAGGGUUGAGCCCCACACUUGGACCAUUCAGAGGGGACACAGCCAGUUCUCCAAGAAGGUUAGUCACAGGCCAGCAAAGGCAGCACAGCGGAGUUCUGAACAUCACAUUCUACAGUCAAGUCCCACCAAGUGCUUUCAGGUCAGCUGCAGCCUGCUGCCUGAGAUGUCUGCAUGCGACAGUUGUGACCUCCAUUCCUCAGUUCAAGCACCACCCUACCUACUGUCUGUGUAGAGAAAGGCAUCACUUUCUCUCUUAGCUGGGAACAUGCAGACAUGGUCAUACAUCCCUGUCAUUCCUUCCAAGAUAGCCUUGGAUUGAGGACCUACUAUGAUCAAGAGAGGGACUUCCCUAAGCACAGAGCAGUAGCAAAGGGGUCGAGACUCACAGGUUGAGAAACAUUGCUCAGGAUACUUCCUUCCAUGUUGUGGCUUUGGCUCAGCUAAGCACCUCUGUCCAGCCCCAUCCCAGCCUCUUCACUUCUGGUUCUUCCUGGCCAAUCCUUCGUUUCCUCAUCUAUCAAGUCAAGACAAUGGCAUCUACUUUUCUGUGAGCUGUGUGGGUUUGGAACAUGGCAGGCACCAGUUAGUGUCAGUUUGCCUUCUGGAUUAGAAUGUUUCCAUUUACAUUUGCCUCAGGAACACUGCCAUUUUCUUGGUGUGGUUAAUCUUAACUACCUCUAAGGGGGAAAGUCCUUUGAUUGAACAAAUUUAUGUCAAUGUGUUUUCUGCAAAUAUAAGUCAUUUUAGUUCUCCAAAAGGCAUCUGGAAUGUUUUUCUGAGUCCAUGUUAACCUAAAAUCAUUUUGCAGUUUGUAAGGUUGUGCAUGUCCAACAAUUAACAGAACAAAGUGGAAAAAUAUGGAUGUAGGUUGAUGAGAAACCAGCUUCCAGUGGUCAGCUGCUCCCAGUUCUUUGCCCUGUUCAGCUUCUUCUUCUACUCCUGAGGUUGAAGAUGGACGUGACUUCCCAGCCUUGGGAACCAAAGCUCCCCACGUUAGCCUGGUCUUCCCUGGCCUCAAGGCACACCUUCUGUCAGCCUGCUCCAUACAGACACACUAGUACAUCAAUGAACUCAAUGCCCAUGCCCUACCAAGCCCCUCUUGCCCACAUGUAUAGUGACGGGAAGAGAUCGAGGAGCCACACACUUGUGAGCGGUGUAUCAGCAAGGAGACAAACCAUCGCAGCUGCCUUGAACAUGUGAAAGCUCCUGUUGCCUUCAUUUGCCUCCCAGCAGCCCAGAAAACAUGGUUCAUCUCCCACAACGACAGCUACAAAGGGCCAAAGUCAUCCCUCAACAUCGUGACUUGGAUGUCUCUUUUGAUCACGAGUCUGCAUGGAUUCCUCAUAGGCCAACAUGGAAUGGAGCUUCACAUCCGUCACUGAUUACUUUGCCAUUUUGGACAGGUUGUUCCUUCCCUCUGGUGAAUCUCAAAUGUUAACGUCUAGCAAAAUGGGUAAGCUGAGCUUAUAGUAGGUGCACGCUGCCAGCACCCAGAACUCCUGGAGGUAAGAGGGCUUCAGUAUGUGAGUGCUACCAUAGCCCAUCUCCUGAAGGAGUGGAACAGCCGAGUCCUGUCCCAAUCCCAACACCAAGUUAGCAGUGCAGAACAGGGUGUACACACUCUGCCCUGAACCCAGUGCUCACCACCACAUGGGCAGGCACUACCAUGAGUAGUUUUCCUAUAAAGACUGCAUCUUUACAUCUUUUUAAAAUUACAUUUAUUUCUUUAUUGGAGAAGAAAGGCCUGUGUGGCGCUCAGGGGACGACUUGCAGGAAUCAAUUUUCUCCUUACACUGUUGCCCAUCCCAGGAAUCAAACCUAGGUCCUUAGACAUCUCAGGAAGUGUCUUUACCUACUAAACCAUUUUUUUGCUCUCCCUUGGAUGCACCUUAAUAUUCCCCGUAACUUCAGUUCGGUGGGCUUCCUAAACCAGGCAAGAAUAAACGGAGUGAAAUUGGUAUUUUCAAGAGGCAGAAAUCUAAUAAAGCAAAACCUGUAUGCGGUUCAUGCUGCUGGGGGCUCUGACAGGCCCUACCCUGUCAGUCACGGGCAACAGAGGCCCCCUGCCAGUCCCUACCACGAUGUCCUCCUGAGGUUCCGCUGUCUGUCACUCCCUCCACAGCAAGGGGUGGGCUCAACCACCAGACCACUAAGCACUGGCUCUCUCUGCUCCUUAGGGCAGAAACUGCAAGAGAGCACCAUGAGGCACAGAGAAGCACACAAACCAAGCCCACCACGUACGUACACAGAAUGGAUUCUGUAGGAACCCUUCACACACAAGAGAGUCGGAGGAAACGGAUUUAUCACUGGCACCGUACUGGCAGAUAUAAUUUUUUUUAGUAGAACAGAGGGAAUUAGUCAGGGGUGGGGAGAAGCACAUCCUAUUUCCAAUCUAUUCUACACUGCCUUCUCUGUGGCCUCUGUACAGGAUCAGCUGCUCCAAGGACUCAGACACCAAAGUGCAGGCCAUUAAGUCAAAAGCCUAAGAGGGGCAUUGGCAAUGUCAUUCUGAAGAAGAAGAUUCGGAGGGGACAUUGCACAAUGUCAGCUGCUUAUCAAACAGGUCUUCACCCUAGGAGUCCUGGUGCACAGUAGCCCUCACCCCCUCCUGGAGAGGGCCUGACACUUUCUGCCCACAGGCCAUCCCUCUGAGCCCUUCAAGCUGGGAGAAGAGACUGGGCAGGCAAGCCUGUCACUUCAGAGGGAGUGCAGACACCCUGCAGUGAUGUCACCAGCCACAGCAGCGCUGAGAUGUCAGGUACCAGCAGCACAAUUCAUCAGCAAGCUGGAAAUGUGACAGUCUGCACACACAAUGGAGACAGGCAGAGCCCUGUGGAUUUGUCAGGAGGAGAAAAAUAAGGGCCCGAGGACUGUUUCCACAGAGGUCCUGAUGAAUGUCGAGCUGGGAAGAGGGAGUUUGGCCUGGUUUUAGACAGAGUUGUAGCCACGCAUCCUCAGCUCUAACCCACAGUCUGCUCUGACAGGAAAGAAGAAAAGAAGUUCGGCAUUCAAAAGAAAGCAAGAAAGAAAAUUAAAGUAAGAAUAUUUUUCACCAACAGAGGGGAGGGGAAUAAAAAUUUCCAUAAUACCCAACAUGCAAAUGCAGUGAAAUGGGCACUUUGGGCUACAAAACUAGUGAAACGCAGAUCCUUUCAGCGCGAUUUGGAAAUUGUGGUGAUGGUAAUGAUGACGGUGAUGGUGAUGGUGAUCUAGACUGAGAUGCCCAGGGCAUCAGCCAAGCACGCUGGUGGUGUGUUUGUAAGGACACUACUCAAGAGAGACAUCAGGAGAGCAACCAAGAGGGGAAAACCAGCCCUGAAUGUGGGAUCCAGACAGAAAGGGGAAGGGAAAGUCAGUCAGCGUGCUAUGAGCUUCAUCCCUCCCCAGCGAGUACACCAUGGCCCUGAGACUUGGCCUUCUCCAGCCCUUCCAGAGAGACUCACACCAGCCACUCACGAGAAAGCCGCUGGGUCUUCAGUUUGGGAUGACACUGCUUCAUUGACUCUCCUUGUUCUGAGGAUUCCAGCUGAUGGGCAAAUAGUGGCUAGAUUCUCUCUCCAGCACGUGGAAGGUCACUGUUGGAUUACCUGGCUUUCAGUCACAUUCAUAUGCCAAUCAAAUAAAUCCCCUUUAAAAAUACACAAACAAUAUAUUCUGUGUAUCCAUUUCCAGGGUCAGGACCCCUAAUUCAUUGCUUAAUAUAAAGUGGUCAGCCCUGAAACCAUACAUGAAUAACUACAAAAAUAGACACAGCAGGAUGCAUGUAUAUUUGUGCAUGUGUAUGUGUGCGUGUAUGUGUACAUGUACGUAUGCACAUAUACACAUACACACAUACACACACACAUAUAUAUAUAUAUAUGUAUGUUUGUAUAAAAAAAGGGAGUUAUCAAUUUGAGGUGAAAGGAGUUGGAGAGGGGGAAGAGUUCUUGGGAAGGACUGGGGAGAAAUGAGACAGGGGAAAGUGUUGUAAUUAUCUCUUAAUUCAAAUAUAUAAAAGCUUUAAAUGGUAAACUUACAGAAAAGCAUAUUCCAUGACACAUACUCUAUUAUAUACAUCCUAUUGGUUCUGCUCUUUCAGAGAUUCCUGCCUAAUAAUGAUCACAAUGCUUAUUUAAUAGAUGGAACCAUUAGAAGUUUGUCCUGCACAGAUGUGCAUAGAAAUAAUGGAAAUGAGUGUUAUCUCGUUCUGUCCAUGGAAGUGUAAAACAAAUCACUUCGCAUAGCAUAAAGAAGCAGCGGCACGAGGAGAUGAACAUCAGGACAGUAGGAGCAGAUGAUCCCAGUGUGUCAUAGAUGUUAACAUGUGCACAGAUAUGUGCAGGACUCUACAGGGGGAGUGAAGGCUCAGAGAAGUCCACAUCAGAACGUGGCCACAGCCAUCUUUGGGGACUGUGACUUUGAAACCUUUCUUUUCAUUUUCCUGUCUCAGUGGGGUUCAAAUUUUAAGGAAAAUCUCUCCCAAUGCCCUAGAGGGCCUCGUGGCACCAGUUUGUCCCCCCGGAAUACUCAGGAAGCGAAGUCUGGAAGAUUGUAAGUUCAAAGCCUGCCUAGAUGACAGUGUGACCUCAAGACCAGUCUGGGAUACUCAGUAAGAUUCUACCUCAUUUUUUAAAUUGAUGAUUCUGGUUUUGUUUGGUUUUGUACCCACUGUGAGUUGGUUUCUAGCAGGCUCCUGGGUGAUGGGUUAAACACAACAAUAAAGGAGAUUCGUGAGCUAGGAAAAGGGGUCAGCAGAUGUGAGAGGAGUCAAGCCAGGUAUAUGUGAAAAACAUUAAACACAUGUGUGGAAAUGUCAUAAUGAAACCAUAAUUGUGAUAACUAAUAUGUGUAAGUCAAAACACAAUAAAUGAAAAGGGUUUAUUGGGGCUGGGGCAAUGGCUUAGUGGUUAAGAACCCAGGUUCGAUUCCCAGCAUUCACACAGCAGUUCACAACCAUCUGUAAUUCUAGUUCUAGGGGAAGCUGACUCUCUUUUCUGGCAUCUAUAGGCACUGCCCAAAUGUGGUGCACAGACAUAUUCAGACAAGACACCCAUACGCAUACGCAUAAAAUAAAAUUAAUAAAGUGUUGCAGAAUAUAGCUCAGUGGUAGAGUUCUUGCAGAUGUGGAGCUUGUAUCCGUUCCUAGUAAUGUAAGAAAUAAAAAUUAUUAGUAAUAAAUACUAAAGUAUAAAAUAUUAUUAGUAUUUGUAUUAUUAUACUAUAGUAAAAUAUAAAAAUAAUAAAAGCUAAACAAAUUCUAGGAAUUUAGAAAGAGAGAAAAAAAGAGAGAGGUAUCCGACACUGAACACAAAUAUUUUUAGUGCGUUCAGGGUGGGGGAAGACAGCUGCUUGCAUGCUGACCCAGUCAAUAGAAACCCUCUGGAAAGCAACCUCGGUGACUUGUAUGAUUUCUUAGAUGUAUCUAUGCCCUGAGGUAUAGCAAAUGCCCUUUUAAGGGACAAUCAUAGAUGCACACAGGAGAAUAUCAUUCCCACAUAACUUACACUAGUGAGGUUUUAACAAUGUACUCUUGGGAAAAGGUCUGGCUCAGAAGCAGAACACAGGCUGAGCAUGCGCAAGGCACAGUUUCCUAGCAUCACACUCAGAAGAAACAAAGACACAAAUUCUUUCAAUGCGUGAUGCCUCUUUUACACAGAAGUAGGGCUAUUCACAUCUACGGAAACUGAUAUUUCCUGCCUGCUUUGUACAUCAUGCAAAGUCAAAAUGCUGCCAUGGUCUCCUGGUUCCUAAGGAUAUGGUGGCAUCUGGGAGGAUAUGGAACUGUGUCUUGUCAACCAGCAAGUGCUGAUUGCACUGCAGACUCAUAAAUCACACAUACACCACGGAAGCAAAGGGUACACUGCCUGUAGAAAUGGACGGGUGUCUGCAGAAACAGCUCCCAGGCCUACCUCUCCCCUAAAACUGUAAGUAACUCUAGCCCCAGGAAAAGUGAAUCAAUCUGUAGCAACAAACACCUACCUGCUCUCAGACAAAGGGAAUUUCUCAGGGCCUGGGUAAUCUCUGCAGCUACAGUGUUACAAUGCUGGGGUGGUAUCCCCCACAGCUACAGUGUUACAGAUGAAUGAGCACAACGUGAGCUUAGAACUAUGUCUGCCUGGGUCAGUUCCUGCAGCUGCACAUUUAGAUCAGCUCAGCUUAUCUAAGCUCCUCCUACUCCCAUCACACCCACAGUCUAGGCUAGGCUGGCACAGGAACAGAGUGGCACAAGUUUGCCCCAUAGCAUAAGGGUAUGAGAAUAUGGAUUCCAGUACCCACAUAAAAGCUCGAAGAGUUCAUGAUUUCUUUAACCCUGCACUGGGGAAGCAGAGACUGGUGGGGGCCCCCGAGAUUGCUGGCCAACAAGACUAGCCAAUCUCAGUUUCAAGUUCAAGGAGAUCCUGUCUUAAAAUAUGAGACAGAGGGCUAUUGAGAAAGACACCCAACAUGAGACUUGGACCUCCACACUCAUGCUUAUCUGCGUGCGUGCGUGCGUGCGUGCGUGCGU